Molecule: small RNA, 190 nt
Filed under: Escherichia coli MS 69-1
Lineage: Bacteria; Pseudomonadati; Pseudomonadota; Gammaproteobacteria; Enterobacterales; Enterobacteriaceae
Also listed under: 2 other names
Description: IS128 RNA
Rfam family: IS128 RNA
About the family: This family consists of a number of bacterial RNA genes of 209 bases in length.
Source: RNAcentral
UCAAGUAGAUAAAAAAGGAUAGAUUUUGAAUUCAUUUGGCUUAUCAGUCCGAAUUCAGACAAAUAUAAACAAAUCCCGCUCAAUAUUAAAAAUACUAACCGGUAAAAGAUAUUACUUAAACAUGUAAAUUCACUUUCUUUAAGCAACAAAAAACCGCCAAAAUCAGGCGGUUAUUUGUUGCUGGUUUGGU